This 253-nucleotide ribosomal RNA is filed under the name uncultured bacterium. Its description in RNAcentral is "partial 16S ribosomal RNA". It matches the Rfam family "Bacterial small subunit ribosomal RNA", at positions 524 to 776 of the family's 1533-position model. The record is from RNAcentral.
UACGAAGGGUGCAAGCGUUACUCGGAAUUACUGGGCGUAAAGCGUGCGCAGGCGGCUUCUCAAGUCAGGGGUGAAAGCCCAGAGCUCAACUCUGGAAUUGCCUUUGAGACUGAGUGGCUUGAGUACGGGAGAGGUGAGUGGAAUUCCCAGUGUAGAGGUGAAAUUCGUAGAUAUUGGGAAGAACACCGGUGGCGAAGGCGGCUCACUGGCCCGUAACCGACGCUCAUGCACGACAGCGUGGGGAUCAAACAGG